RNAcentral lists this ribosomal RNA (1346 nucleotides) under uncultured bacterium. RNAcentral describes it as "bacterial SSU rRNA". It matches the Rfam family "Bacterial small subunit ribosomal RNA", at positions 28 to 1381 of the family's 1533-position model. The record is from RNAcentral.
GACGAACGCUGGCGGCGUGCUUAACACAUGCAAGUCGAACGGAAAGGCCCUGCUUUUGUGGGGUGCUCGAGUGGCGAACGGGUGAGUAACACGUGAGUAACCUGCCCUUGACUUUGGGAUAACUUCAGGAAACUGGGGCUAAUACUGGAUAGGAGCUCCUGCUGCAUGGUGGGGGUUGGAAAGUUUCGGCGGUUGGGGAUGGACUCGCGGCUUAUCAGCUUGUUGGUGGGGUAGUGGCUUACCAAGGCUUUGACGGGUAGCCGGCCUGAGAGGGUGACCGGCCACAUUGGGACUGAGAUACGGCCCAGACUCCUACGGGAGGCAGCAGUGGGGAAUAUUGCACAAUGGGCGGAAGCCUGAUGCAGCAACGCCGCGUGCGGGAUGACGGCCUUCGGGUUGUAAACCGCUUUCGCCUGUGACGAAGCGUGAGUGACGGUAAUGGGUAAAGAAGCACCGGCUAACUACGUGCCAGCAGCCGCGGUGAUACGUAGGGUGCGAGCGUUGUCCGGAUUUAUUGGGCGUAAAGGGCUCGUAGGUGGUUGAUCGCGUCGGAAGUGUAAUCUUGGGGCUUAACCCUGAGCGUGCUUUCGAUACGGGUUGACUUGAGGAAGGUAGGGGAGAAUGGAAUUCCUGGUGGAGCGGUGGAAUGCGCAGAUAUUAGGAGGAACACCAGUGGCGAAGGCGGUUCUCUGGGCCUUUCCUGACGCUGAGGAGCGAAAGCGUGGGGAGCGAACAGGCUUAGAUACCCUGGUAGUCCACGCUGUAAACGGUGGGUACUAGGUGUGGGGUCCAUUCCACGGGUUCCGUGCCGUAGCUAACGCUUUAAGUACCCCGCCUGGGGAGUACGGCCGCAAGGCUAAAACUCAAAGGAAUUGACGGGGCCCCGCACAAGCGGCGGAGCAUGCGGAUUAAUUCGAUGCAACGCGUAGAACCUUACCUGGGUUUGACAUGGAUCGGGAGCGCUCAGAGAUGGGUGUGCCUCUUUUGGGGUCGGUUCACAGGUGGUGCAUGGCUGUCGUCAGCUCGUGUCGUGAGAUGUUGGGUUAAGUCCCGCAACGAGCGCAACCCUUGUUCACUGUUGCCAGCACGUUAUGGUGGGGACUCAGUGGAGACCGCCGGGGUCAACUCGGAGGAAGGUGGGGAUGACGUCAAGUCAUCAUGCCCCUUAUGUCCAGGGCUUCACGCAUGCUACAAUGGCUGGUACAGAGAGUGGCGAGCCUGUGAGGGUGAGCGAAUCUCGGAAAGCCGGUCUCAGUUCGGAUUGGGGUCUGCAACUCGACCUCAUGAAGUCGGAGUCGCUAGUAAUCGCAGAUCAGCAACGCUGCGGUGAAUACGUUCCCGGGGCU